Molecule: ribosomal RNA, 465 nt
Filed under: Vreelandella stevensii
Lineage: Bacteria; Pseudomonadati; Pseudomonadota; Gammaproteobacteria; Oceanospirillales; Halomonadaceae
Description: partial 16S ribosomal RNA
Rfam family: Bacterial small subunit ribosomal RNA
Source: RNAcentral
CCUACGGGUGGCAGCAGUGGGGAAUAUUGGACAAUGGGGGCAACCCUGAUCCAGCCAUGCCGCGUGUGUGAAGAAGGCCCUCGGGUUGUAAAGCACUUUCAGUGAGGAAGAACGCCUGGUGGUUAAUACCCAUCAGGAAAGACAUCACUCACAGAAGAAGCACCGGCUAACUCCGUGCCAGCAGCCGCGGUAAUACGGAGGGUGCGAGCGUUAAUCGGAAUUACUGGGCGUAAAGCGCGCGUAGGUGGCUUGAUAAGCCGGUUGUGAAAGCCCCGGGCUCAACCUGGGAACGGCAUCCGGAAACGUCAAGCUAGAGUGCAGGAGAGGAAGGUAUAACUCGCGGUGUAGUGGUGAAAUGCGUAGAGAUAGGGAGGAAGACCAGUGGCGAAGGCGGCCUUCUGGACUGACUAUGCCACUGAGGUGCGAAAGCGUGGGUAGAAACCAGGAUCAGAUACCCCUGUAGUC